Molecule: non-coding RNA, 77 nt
Filed under: unclassified sequences
Also listed under: 1 other name
Description: Flavo-1 RNA
Rfam family: Flavo-1 RNA (bases 9-77)
Source: RNAcentral
UUGCGUGAGGGAUUGGAGUGGAAAUCCUUUUGCUUUUGAAAAAAAGCAAAAGAUUGCAACGGAAAGCCCGGCCCUCU